This 468-nucleotide ribosomal RNA is filed under the name uncultured bacterium. RNAcentral's name for it is "partial 16S ribosomal RNA". It matches the Rfam family "Bacterial small subunit ribosomal RNA", at positions 28 to 507 of the family's 1533-position model. The record is from RNAcentral.
GACGAACGCUGGCGGCGUGCUUAAUACAUGCAAGUCGAACGGACAGGCCCGGAGUUUGUGGGGUGCUCGAGUGGCGAACGGGUGAGUAACACGUGAGUAUCCUGUCCUUGUAUUAGGGAUAACAUUAGGAAAAUGGGGAUAAUACCGCAUAUGAGAUCCUGCUGCAUGGUGGGGGAUGGUAAGAUUCGGCGGUGGGGGAUGGACUCGCGGCUUAUCAGCUUGUUGGUGGGGUAGGGGCGUACCAAGCGUUUGACGGGUAGGCCGCCUGAGAGAGUGACCAGGGACAAUGGGACUGCGGUAGGGACCAGACUCGUACGUGCGGCAACAGGCGAGAAUAUGGCACAAUGACCGGACGCCAGUUGCAACAACGUUCCGUGCGGGAUGCUGGCUUACUGGGGGUAAACCGCUUUCGACUGUGCCAAGGCGUGCUUGACGGUAAUGGGUAAAGAAGCACCGGCUAACUACGUG